CCCUUGGAUACCAGUAAAUUUAUGUGAACUGUUUUUAUUUUAAUCAAUGAAUACAAGUUUAAUACUUUCCAUAAAAAAUGACAAAUUUGAACCUUCUAUCUAAAACUAUCUCUACAUGUUAAUUAUAGCUAAAACUUUAAGGUUAACCACAAGAAGGUUUCAAAAACAUAUUUAUAAGUGCAAAAAAUAUAACAGUUGUUAAAUAAUUUGGUUAACUACUACUUUCUGAAUGUGAAACAAGAACUAUUAUUAUUAAAGUUUUUUUUUUAAACUGGUGAACUGAAUUUAACACUUGUGACAUGAUAUAUAUCAGAAUUGAUGCACAAAAAACAACUGUAGAUAUAGUCUUUUAUUUUUUCUGAUUUUUUCUCAUAUUUUCUUAUUUUCUUUUUCAUUAUUAUUCAUUUGUUAUUCUUUUUUGUUCAGAAUAUCAUUGAAUGUGAGACAAAAGAUAUAAGUGUUAUAUUUUUUUUUAAAACUGGUGACCUAAAGUAAACACUGUGAACUGUAAUAUAUCAGAAUUGAUGCACAAAAAUUAAAUGCACAAAUAGUCUAUUAUUUUUUCUACUCUUUUUUAUUAUUUUUUUCAUAUUUUCUUUUUUUUUCUUUUUAUAUUAUUUUCUUUUUUGUUCUGACAUGUCUGAAUGUGACACAAAAGCUAUAAGUAUUAUAGUUUGUUUUUUUUUAAACUGGUGACCUGAAGUAAACACUGUGAACUGUAAUAUAUCAGAAUUGAUGCACAAAAAUCAAAUGCACAAAUAGUCUUAUUUUUUCUUCUUUUUUCUUUUUUUUUACAUUUUUUUUUUCUUUUCUUUUUCUUUUCUAUUUUAUUUUUAGUAUUUUGAGGUUUUAAAAAACUACGAAAAAAAAUGGUAAGAAUCAGUGUUAUCAGUUAAUCACAUUUUAUACCCUGGUGAAGAUAUGAUUACAACAUGAAUAUUAAAACAAGAUAUAAACUGGAAUUGUAAAUUCCCUGAGAUCACUAUCUAUCAAUUAAAGCAAAGUUCUGGAUUGUUUAUACAAAUAAAAGGGGGAGAGGGGUGAAGGUCAAUGGGACAGCAACCCAAUGGCACAAAUAAUCAAUAGACGUCUACAGCAACAUAAAAUCUUAAACAACAUAUAUCUAAACAAAAUAUCAAGCUUUUAAUUUUCCUGGGUCAUAAAAAAAAAUUGAACAGAUACUAUCAAAACAUGUUAAAUAUUUUGUUACAAAUAAAACUUGAGUUUUUAAAGACAAAGCAAAAUUGAUGCAACUGAGUACAAAGCAAACUCUUUAUAUCCCUGACAAUAAUUCCAUCAAAUAAGAAAUUUUUGGAGCAUUAGAAAUAGUCAGUCCAGAGACUGUAUAUAUCAUUAUCAUGAGAAAAGCAUGCUGCAAUUCAUAUUGCCCUUUGGAUUCAUAGUGUAUUGCUGCCUCAACUUUUUUAAUCGUUAGUUGAAUUAUUCAUUUGUUUCCGAGUAUUUAUACCUUGUUGAAUAAAAAUUGAGGUAAUCCUAUGAAAAAUUUAGUUUUGGUUUUAAGAGUUAAGUGCUGUUCCAAUAACAACUUUAGAGUUCAAAUACUUUAGUUCUUAAAGAAAUAUCUGUAAUUACUAAGAAACUAAAAUAUCUAAAUAAUAUUAGAUCAGUAAGGGAUACAAUACCGUUCACUUUAAUUUAAACUGUACAACACUUUUUUAAGGCAAAGUUAGGAUAGAACAAGUAUUUGAUAUUUGUACACAAAAAGAAAAUGUAAUAAAAUAUGGUAACAUAAUAUUUACAACAACUAAAGCAAAAACAAAAUAUUACAUAAUUACUGGUACUAGUCUACAAAGAUCGAUAUAUAUAUAUAUAUAUAUAAUAUAUAUA
This 1848-nucleotide long non-coding RNA is filed under the name Mytilus galloprovincialis (Mediterranean mussel). Lineage: Eukaryota; Metazoa; Mollusca; Bivalvia; Mytilida; Mytilidae. The record is from RNAcentral.